RNAcentral lists this ribosomal RNA (457 nucleotides) under uncultured Sphingobacteriales bacterium. Its description in RNAcentral is "bacterial SSU rRNA". It matches the Rfam family "Bacterial small subunit ribosomal RNA", at positions 923 to 1382 of the family's 1533-position model. Lineage: Bacteria; Pseudomonadati; Bacteroidota; Sphingobacteriia; Sphingobacteriales. The record is from RNAcentral.
GCACAAGCGGAGGAACAUGUGGUUUAAUUCGAUGAUACGCGAGGAACCUUACCUGGGCUUAAAUGGGGAGUGACAGCUGUCGAAAGAUGGUUUUCUUCGGACACUCUUCAAGGUGCUGCAUGGUUGUCGUCAGCUCGUGCCGUGAGGUGUCGGGUUAAGUCCCAUAACGAGCGCAACCCUUACCGUUAGUUACCAUCAGGUUAAGCUGGGGACUCUAGCGGGACUGCCACCGUAAGGUGAGAGGAAAGGUGGGGAUGACGUCAAAUCAGCACGGCCCUUAUGUCCAGGGCUACACACGUGUUACAAUGGCCGGUACAAAGGGCAGCUACUUCGCGAGAAGAUGCUAAUCUCGAAAGCCGGUCUCAGUUCGGAUCGAAGUCUGCAACCCGACUUCGUGAAGUUGGAAUCGCUAGUAAUCGCGGAUCAGCAUGCCGCGGUGAAUACGUUCCCGGGCCUU